This 497-nucleotide ribosomal RNA is filed under the name uncultured bacterium. RNAcentral's name for it is "partial 16S ribosomal RNA". It matches the Rfam family "Bacterial small subunit ribosomal RNA", at positions 28 to 507 of the family's 1533-position model. The record is from RNAcentral.
GAUGAACGCUGGCGGCGUGCCUAAUACAUGCAAGUCGAGCGAACGGACGUGAAGCUUGCUCCUGUGAUGUUAGCGGCGGACGGGUGAGUAAAACGUGGAUAACCUACUUAUAAGACUGGGUUUACUUCGGGAAAACGUAGCUAAUACCGGAUAAUAUUUUGAACCGCAUGGUUCAAAAGUAAAUUAUGGUCUUGCUGUCACUUAUAGAUGGAUCUGCGCUGCCUUAGCUAGUUGGUAAGGUAAAGGCUUACCAAGGCGACGAUGCAUAGCGGACCUGAGAGGGUGGAUGAGCAGACUGGAAGUGAGACAGGGUGCAGACACCGGCGGGGGGACACGGUCGAGAAUCUUCCGCGAUGGACGAGAGGGGGACGGAGCAAAACCGCGUGAGUGAUGAAGGAGUGCGGAUCGUAAAACGAUGAUGGUAGGGGUAAAGAAAAGUGCAAGUAAAUGUGCAGAUCAUGACGGUACCUAAUCAGAAAGCUACGGCUAACUACGUG